AAGACCUCGAAUCAGUAGG
This 19-nucleotide ribosomal RNA is filed under the name Arthrocladiella mougeotii. RNAcentral's name for it is "partial 28S ribosomal RNA". The record is from RNAcentral. Lineage: Eukaryota; Fungi; Ascomycota; Leotiomycetes; Helotiales; Erysiphaceae.